Long non-coding RNA from Sus scrofa (pig), 184 nucleotides. RefSeq lists it as uncharacterized. The record is from RefSeq and is a predicted model, not a curated record. Lineage: Eukaryota; Metazoa; Chordata; Mammalia; Artiodactyla; Suidae.
GGAGAAUCUGGCGUGUGGCCUCAUGUCCUGUUUGAAACCUGAUGUUUUGGUGGCUGUGAUGAGAGCUUUAUGGCCUCUGGAGGAGAAUUGGCAACCAGUGUGAUCAUUUCGUCCUCGGCAAGUUGCAACUGUUUCACAGUGAUGCAUAUGGCAUUCCCAGGCCAGGAUCAGAUCUGAGCCACAG